RNAcentral lists this transfer RNA (90 nucleotides) under Roseibium sp. RKSG952. Its description in RNAcentral is "tRNA-Lys". It matches the Rfam family "tRNA". From Rfam's summary of the family: Transfer RNA (tRNA) molecules are approximately 80 nucleotides in length. Their secondary structure includes four short double-helical elements and three loops (D, anti-codon, and T loops). Further hydrogen bonds mediate the characteristic L-shaped molecular structure. tRNAs have two regions of fundamental functional importance: the anti-codon, which is responsible for specific mRNA codon recognition, and the 3' end, to which the tRNAs corresponding amino acid is attached (by aminoacyl-tRNA synthetases). tRNAs cope with the degeneracy of the genetic code in two manners: having more than one tRNA (with a specific anti-codon) for a particular amino acid; and 'wobble' base-pairing, i.e. permitting non-standard base-pairing at the 3rd anti-codon position. The record is from RNAcentral. Lineage: Bacteria; Pseudomonadati; Pseudomonadota; Alphaproteobacteria; Hyphomicrobiales; Stappiaceae.
GAACGCGUGAGCCGAGCUGGCCGAAGGCAUCCGACUUUUAAUCGGACGGGCGAAAGCCCCGCGUGGGUUCGAAUCCCACCGCGUUCUCCA